Molecule: unclassified non-coding RNA, 377 nt
Filed under: uncultured Actinomycetes bacterium
Lineage: Bacteria; Bacillati; Actinomycetota; Actinomycetes
Description: uncultured actinobacterium contains 16S-23S intergenic spacer region
Source: RNAcentral
UCCGGCUUCGCGCCGGCAGUCUCCCGAGAGUCCCCGGCAUUACCCGCUGGCAACUAAGGGCAGGGGUUGCGCUCGUUGCGGCACUUAAGCCAACACCUCACGGCACGAGCUGACGACAGCCAUGCAGCACCUGUGCUAGCCCCCGAAGGACACGGGCUUUCACCCGCUUUAACUAGCAUGUCAAGCCCAGGCAAGGUUCUUCGCGUUGCAUCGAAUUAAGCCACAUGCUCCGCCGCUUGUGCGGGUCCCCGUCAAUUCCUUUGAGUUUUAGCCUUGCGGCCGUACUCCCCAGGCGGGGCACUUAAUGCGUUAGCUGCGGCACGGACCACGUGGAAUGUGGCCCACACCUAGUGCCCAACGUUUACGGCGUGGACUAC